RNAcentral lists this ribosomal RNA (466 nucleotides) under uncultured bacterium. RNAcentral's name for it is "partial 16S ribosomal RNA". It matches the Rfam family "Bacterial small subunit ribosomal RNA", at positions 29 to 507 of the family's 1533-position model. The record is from RNAcentral.
AUGAACGCUGGCGGCGUGCUUAACACAUGCAAGUCGAACGGAAAGGCCCAAGCUUGCUUGGGUACUCGAGUGGCGAACGGGUGAGUAACACGUGGGUGAUCUGCCCUGCACUUCGGGAUAAGCCUGGGAAACUGGGUCUAAUACCGGAUAGGACGAUGGUUUGGAUGCCAUUGUGGAAAGUUUUUUCGGUGUGGGAUGAGCUCGCGGCCUAUCAGCUUGUUGGUGGGGUAAUGGCCUACCAAGGCGUCGACGGGUAGCCGGCCUGAGAGGGUGUACGGCCACAUUGGGACUGAGAGAAGGCCCAGACUCCUACGGGAGGCAGCAGUGGGGAAUAUUGAACAAUGGGCGCAAGCCUGAUGCAGCGACGCCGCGUGGGGGAUGACGGCCUUCGGGUUGUAAACUCCUUUCGCUAGGGACGAAGCGUUUUGUGACGGUACCUGGAGAAGAAGCACCGGCUAACUACGUG